UACGUAGGUGGCAAGCGUUGUCCGGAUUUACUGGGCGUAAAGAGCGCGCAGGCGGUCGUUCAAGUCGCGUGUGAAAGCCCCCGGCUCAACUGGGGAGGGUCACGCGAUACUGAUCGACUGGAAGGCAGGAGAGGGUAGUGGAAUUCCCGGUGUAGUGGUGAAAUGCGCAGAUAUCAGGAGGAACACCAAUGGCGAAGGCAGCACUCUGGGACGUGACUGACGCUGAGACGCGAAAGCGUGGGGAGCAAACAGG
RNAcentral lists this ribosomal RNA (253 nucleotides) under uncultured bacterium. RNAcentral's name for it is "partial 16S ribosomal RNA". It matches the Rfam family "Bacterial small subunit ribosomal RNA", at positions 524 to 776 of the family's 1533-position model. The record is from RNAcentral.